RNAcentral lists this long non-coding RNA (679 nucleotides) under Mytilus galloprovincialis (Mediterranean mussel). Lineage: Eukaryota; Metazoa; Mollusca; Bivalvia; Mytilida; Mytilidae. The record is from RNAcentral.
GUGCCUUUUAGCAUGUUUAGUAGGUUUUUGAAUGAAAAAGGGGGAGGGCUUGUAUGAAGAGGUGAUAUUUUCCUGCAAUUUAAAACCUCGUGAAUGUUUUUGUUGUAUAAAUAAUCCCAGUGGCGGAUCCAGAAUUUUUCAUAAGUGGGGGCUCACUGACUGCCUAAAAGGGGACCCGCUCAGGUCAUGCUCCAGUGAUUCCCUAUAUUAUUAACCAAAUUUUUCCCAGGGCUGCCUCUGAAUCCUCCGAUAUGUUUAAAAUGUACUUUAAAUAGAAAGGAAAUUACAAAUGGCAUAGUAUAUUACAUGUAAUAAUUUAAUAGUACGUUAUGUAUUAAAAAGUCUAAGGCCAAAAACACUUGAAAUAAUUCAGGGUCAAUUUAGGCCCCUAACACAUACAUUGUAUUUACAUUUAAAAAUGCAUACUACAGCUGUAGUUAUUAAAAUUUGCUUUUUGGGGGGCUGAUUUUUAUUGCAUGUAAUUUUAGUCUCAAGAGGCAUACAUGUAUAUUUGAACCACUUACUUUUCUUUUCUAUCCUACAGUAGAAAAGAAAAAUAACAUGUUAAAUACAGCAGUUACAAAAAAUAUUGUAAAAUGCGAAUAUACUGAAAUCUUUAAUUUUAUGACAGACUUUAUGUACAUACAAAUCUCAUCACAUUUUUCUUGCUCCAUAAAGU